Long non-coding RNA from Neofelis nebulosa (Clouded leopard), 2216 nucleotides. RefSeq lists it as uncharacterized. Lineage: Eukaryota; Metazoa; Chordata; Mammalia; Carnivora; Felidae. The record is from RefSeq and is a predicted model, not a curated record. The transcript has 3 exons.
AAGAGACUAAUAGCCAGAUGCGCCAUGGAGACCUUGAGUGGAGCCUAUUGGAACAAAAACAACUGUAGCAGCCUACUGACAGACACCUGAAACACGCAGAGCGAGACCUUCUUCAGGCAACUCCUGGCUGCUCUACUCCCUUGGUGUUUGUGUUUUAUUAAAGACUGAAAAUAACUUUAUCUCAAGGUCCUGAAAGCCUUGCUUCCAGAUUCCUUAGAAACUGACUUUAUCUCUAUCGCCCUCCCUCCACAAACCUAAAGGUGUAUGAUCAGUCACCCCUCACAACCCCAGGGCAGCUCUUUCUGCCCCCGGGUCCCGUCCCCGUGCUUUAGUAAAACCACCUUUUCGCACCAAAGACAUCUCAAGAAUUCUUUCUUAGCCGUUUGCUCAAGAACCCCAUCAGUGGGGAACAAAGAGAACAAAACUGGCUCAAUGUGAUACGGGAGGCUGGUGACAGAGCCUCGGGGACUGUUGUGUGCCUACCGCUCCCGUUGUGUGUGUUUGGAAAUCUCUGUGACGGAAAGCUUGAAGAGAGAACACACAAUUGAAUUUGGCCCUCUCAGCCAAAAAGGAUGAAAGGAAGAAAGAAAAGAAGGGAAGAAAGGGAAAGAGGAGAGAGUGCCUGAGCGCGCACAGGGUGACCCAGAGGACUAGCCUCUCCCGGCAUGCAGAGUCCGCGGGAAUGACACCGCCAGGCAGGAGGGGCCGCGGCCAGGCCAGUAGCAUGACCGACUCUUGCCCCUUCUGCCGCCUUUGUGCAGUCCCCACAUCAGUCAUCCGGGACUGGUUCCUCGCCUCCGGCUGUGUUACUGAGGUGUGUUUCUCAUUGUGAAAUCCAGCUGGAGAAACCCGUCUUCCAGAGACCUGUACACUUUAUGAGCCCCGCACUGGUGGGUGAUGCUCUUUGCCAAGACUUACAGUCAAUUCCAGGGCUCUCGGGGGAAAUCUGAACGCCCUACAAGAGGAGGAAUGUUUGUCCAGUUUCCUUCGGUUGAUCCCGUUCGGAUUCACUAGCCAUCAGCCUAAAAUCAGGGCUGGGAUGUGGAUUCUCAUGGGUUCUCGGAGGGUCACGAACCUGAAAUCACUUCCAUUCCAGAAGCACCCAUCCACAGCAUGACCGAAAAAGCUGAUGGGGACGUGAGUUUGCCUUUCGUCCUCUCUCUUCCUCUCCUUUCCUGCAGGUGCAGGAUGUCUGGAGAAGUGGGAGAUGGGGGCUGGGAAUGUACAGAUAUGGGUGCAGGACAGCCACGGUUUGUCUACACAGGGUGCCAUCACCCUAGAGACCCCUGGGACCCACUGGACUUUAGGAGAGCCUUUUCUUCCCCUCCACGGCCCCAGUACCUCUCCCGUUCUCAAUUUCACUGGGAAACAUAUCCCUGAAAGCACAGACUAACCUGAGAAGAUUCUCUGCUGGUUUACUUUUAUUAUUAACCCUUUUAUGAGAACUUCUAAGAUCUACUCUUUUGGCGACUCUCAAAUGUACAGCACAGUUAUUAUUAACUACCAUCAAUCACCAUGCUGUCUGCCACACCCAGGACCUAGUCAUUUCGUAACUGGAAGUUUGUGCCUUUCAACCCCUUCACUGAUUCCACCCGCCCCCACUCCUCCGUGUCUGCGGGUCUGCUUUUUGUUUUGUGUGGCCGCACACCAAAGAAGUUCUCAGAUACUGGAUGGAGCGGACGUGCGGGCAUGCUUCCACCAGUGAAACAGCUGCAGCAGCAAACUGCACAGAGUCUUUAUUUCAUAUUUUCUUAGAUAUGAGUAUCAAAGGAUAUCAAAGCAUGGGUAGGGAACACAAAGGAUCUUUAGACAUUAACCAGACAUGCACCUGCUGGCUACGUGAAGGGAGUACGUGUAGUUUCAGGGAGUGUCAGGGGGUCACAGUGGAUUUUGUAUCUAAUUGUCCUCUGCGGUGUCACGGGGCUCUGUUCUCAGAGUGCUAUCGCGCUCGACAGCCUUGGGACCAGAACAUCGCUGACGUUUCAGCUCUCACCCCGUUCACCCUCCAGGGCUUACAAUACCCUCUCUAGCAAUGACUCCACAGUUUCAUCGUUGCUGGUGUUUUAGAUCCCACAUCUGGCGAAUAUGAUCAAGGGGAGAGGGGCACACGCAUCUGGACUCCAUCCACAAAAGUCUGACUAAGACAUUUGAGGCUGAUAAUGGUCCUUGCCUGGCGUGGGCGUCGAGAUGACGACUGUGGACCUGGCUCUCGGGGA